Molecule: transfer RNA, 92 nt
Filed under: Clostridiales bacterium
Lineage: Bacteria; Bacillati; Bacillota; Clostridia; Eubacteriales
Description: tRNA-Ser
Rfam family: tRNA
About the family: Transfer RNA (tRNA) molecules are approximately 80 nucleotides in length. Their secondary structure includes four short double-helical elements and three loops (D, anti-codon, and T loops).
Source: RNAcentral
GGAAAGAUGGCUGAGCUGGUCGAAGGCGCACGACUGGAAAUCGUGUGAACGCUAAUACCGUUCCGGGAGUUCGAAUCUCCCUCUUUCCGCCA